UGCCAGCAGCCGCGGUAAUACGGAGGGUGCAAGCGUUAAUCGGAAUUACUGGGCGUAAAGCGCGCGUAGGCGGUUUAGUAAGUUGGAUGUGAAAGCCCAGGGCUCAACCUUGGAACUGCAUUCAAAGCUGCUAGGCUAGAGUACGAGAGAGGGGGGUAGAAUUCCACGUGUAGCGGUGAAAUGCGUAGAGAUGUGGAGGAAUACCAGUGGCGAAGGCGGCCCCCUGGCUCGAUACUGACGCUAAGGUGCGAAAGCGUGGGGAGCAAACAGGAUUAGAUA
RNAcentral lists this ribosomal RNA (279 nucleotides) under uncultured bacterium. RNAcentral's name for it is "partial 16S ribosomal RNA". It matches the Rfam family "Bacterial small subunit ribosomal RNA", at positions 506 to 784 of the family's 1533-position model. The record is from RNAcentral.